Molecule: small nuclear RNA, 24 nt
Filed under: Arabidopsis thaliana (thale cress)
Lineage: Eukaryota; Viridiplantae; Streptophyta; Magnoliopsida; Brassicales; Brassicaceae
Description: snRNA_09494
Source: RNAcentral
GAAGAUGUGGACAACAUCUUUUGA